UACGGAGGGAGCUAGCGUUGUUCGGAAUUACUGGGCGUAAAGCGCACGUAGGCGGCUUUUUAAGUCAGGGGUGAAAUCCCGGGGCUCAACCCCGGAACUGCCCCUUGAAACUGGAGAGCUAGAAUCUUGGAGAGGCGAGUGGAAUUCCGAGUGUAGAGGUGAAAUUCGUAGAUAUUCGGAAGAACACCAGUGGCGAAGGCGACUCGCUGGACAAGUAUUGACGCUGAGGUGCGAAAGCGUGGGGAGCAAACAGG
RNAcentral lists this ribosomal RNA (254 nucleotides) under uncultured bacterium. RNAcentral describes it as "partial 16S ribosomal RNA". It matches the Rfam family "Bacterial small subunit ribosomal RNA", at positions 524 to 776 of the family's 1533-position model. The record is from RNAcentral.